This 460-nucleotide ribosomal RNA is filed under the name uncultured bacterium. RNAcentral's name for it is "bacterial SSU rRNA". It matches the Rfam family "Bacterial small subunit ribosomal RNA", at positions 29 to 506 of the family's 1533-position model. The record is from RNAcentral.
ACGAACGCUGGCGGCGUGCCUAACACAUGCAAGUCGAACGGGACCGGGGGCAACUCCGGUUCAGUGGCGAACGGGUGCGUAACACGUGAGGAACAUGUCCAUCGGCGGGGGAUAGCCGGCCCAACGGCCGGGUAAUACCGCGUACGCUGGUCUGGGGGCAUCUCCGGGCCAGGAAAGCAGCAAUGCACCGAUGGAGUGCCUCGCGGCCUAUCAGCUAGUUGGCGGGGUAAUGGCCCACCAAGGCGACGACGGGUAGCUGGUCUGAGAGGAUGGCCAGCCACAUUGGGACUGAGACACGGCCCAGACUCCUACGGGAGGCAGCAGUGGGGAAUCUUGCGCAAUGGGCGAAAGCCUGACGCAGCGACGCCGCGUGCGGGACGAAGGCCUUCGGGUCGUAAACCGCUGUCGGGAGGGACGAAGAUCUGACGGUACCUCCAAAGGAAGCACCGGCUAACUCCGU